CCUACGGGAGGCAGCAGUGAGGAAUAUUGGUCAAUGGCCGAGAGGCUGAACCAGCCAAGUCGCGUGAGGGAAGACGGCCCUACGGGUUGUAAACCUCUUUUGUCGGGGAGCAAAGCGAGUCACGUGUGACUCAUUGAGAGUACCCGAAGAAAAAGCAUCGGCUAACUCCGUGCCAGCAGCCGCGGUAAUACGUAGGGGGCAAGCGUUAUCCGGAUUUACUGGGUGUAAAGGGAGCGUAGACGGCAGCACAAGUCUGGAGUGAAAUGCCGGGGCUUAACCCCGGAACUGCUUUGGAAACUGUGCAGCUAGAGUGCAGGAGAGGUAAGUGGAAUUCCUAGUGUAGCGGUGAAAUGCAUAGAUAUCGCGCAGAACUCCGAUUGCGAAGGCAGCAUGCCGGCUCCACACUGACGCUGAGGCACGAAAGCGUGGGUAUCGAACAGGAUUAGAUACCCCAGUAGUC
Molecule: ribosomal RNA, 460 nt
Filed under: uncultured bacterium
Lineage: Bacteria
Description: partial 16S ribosomal RNA
Rfam family: Bacterial small subunit ribosomal RNA
Source: RNAcentral